UUUUUUUUUUUUUUUUUUUUUUUUGUCUUUUUGCCUUUUCUAGGGCCGUACCUGAGGCAUGUGGAGGUUCCCAGGGUAGGAGUCUAAUCAGAGCUGCAGCCGCCUGCCUAUGCUAGAGCCACAGCAACGCGAGAUCCAAGCUGCAUCUGUGACCUACACCACAGCUCACGGCAACGCCAGAUCCUUAACCCACUGAGCAAGGCCAGGGAUCGAACUGGUAACCUCAUGGUUCCUAGUUGGAUUCGUUAACCACUGAGCCACGACAGGAACUCCCCUAUUUAUUUAUUUAUUUAUUUAUUUAUUUAUUUAGACCUCCUCUUUGGGUUUAGAAAGGAGGAGGAGAAAAAUUAUUGGAGGAGGAAAAAAUUAGAACUGUGGAAAAAAAUUGUUACAGUUCCUGGUCUAGAGCCAAGUCUCUGGGCUUUUUUUUCCUCAUGGCAAAAGUGAACAUUUAGUAAUUCUUCGAGUCAAAAUGUCUAUAAGUUACUUAAUUCUUAAGAUGUCCAGUUCGAUACUCACUUUUCAGUGGUGCUGAUGGUGCAGUUCUACUCUUAGUUUUAAUUUCUUUCAUUUAAUUACAUAUUUGCAAUGUCAGGCUGCAGCUUUUGAACUGCUUUAUGUUAUAUUUAAACAAGUUAGGUUACAAAUAAAGUAAUGCUUUGGUUUAUUAUUUUUAAUAUAUACAGUUUCACUUUUUUGUGAGAUAAAAAAAUGACUUGCUGCUUGAUUCAUACAUUCGUGCACUGAAGGUCUCCUGUUUGCCAGUCACUGUACUAAGGACUGGAUAUGCAGAGGUGAAGACCUAGUCUCCAUUUUUAAAGUGCUAGCCAAGAAGUACAAAAGGAGGGACGUGCAAAUAAAUACUGUUACAAGAGUGACAAGCACUUCUGUGGCACUUACUAUGUACCAGGCAGUGUUCUAAGUGCUUUCUAGGCAUUAACUUUAACUCAUGAAUUGAUAUAGAAGCCCUAUGAUAUUCUUACUAUUAUUUUCUCUUUUUUAUGUGACUAAAUUAGGGCCCAGAGAGGUUAAGCAUACGUCCAAGGUCUUAAAGCCUGUUUUGGUUGACAAUCAAGUGUUGAAAGUGCGAUCAUAGAACUGCCGGGAGAGCUUUCAGUUGGGAAAAUGGGGAAUGGAGGUGUGUUAUCAGUGACAUCUUCCCAAAGGAGACAGUAGCUGAACAAGUCCGUUCGGAGGAGUGGAAGAACCACAUUUCUCCAGAAAUACUUCUUGAGUGACAUAAAAUGUGGCGCCAUAAAUCAGCUCACAGGUUGAAUGAGUGACAGAUCCUGGAAGAUGAGGAGAUAGUAAAAAUAUACCAGAUCUCUCUGCAUCUUCCAUUUAAAUGACAAGGAAAAAGGCUUCCAAUUUGGAGGCAAAGCUUUGUUUCCAUUUGUUAUGAGAUAGAGUAAAAACCUGACAUUUAAAAAAGUCUAAUAGAAAUGUGAAUUUACUUCUACUCUCGCCAGCAUGUGGGUUAAAUCCGUGACCCUUUUGAAUGUUCUGAAAGAAUUACCAAUCACUGAAGAUUUUAUCUUGGGAAACCUCUAGUGAUCUAUAGAAAUAGUCUUUUACUGGUAUUUAUUUUGUAUAAAGACAGGGGAAAGAUUGGUGUACAUCUUGCAGAUUAAAAAUCGGCAGGAACCACCUGAUUGGGUAGAUUAGUUUCAUCAUUACAGGGAUGAAAAACAAUUCAGAAGGCAGGUCGCUGGCACCCAUGCCUAGCUGUAUCUUUGCUUUUCCACCUUCCUGUCCAACUGCUACUCUUUUGAGCACCAGCCACGUGUCUAACCAUCCCUUGGCCCUCUUCCCUGCUGACAUCCUCCUUCCUCCCCCUCAUCAUUCAUGACGGCUUCAUUGGUCUCCACCGUGCUCCACCUUCCUUGGAUGACCCACAUUGUUCCCUGACUGCGUGGGAUUGGGAGCUUGUCAUCACCAGGGAUCUUCUCCCCAGCUUCCCCCAGCGCCUUCCUUCCAAGACCUUGCCUACUCAUGGCCCAGAUCAGUAAGUCAAAAAUUCCCUCGGUGGCCAGACCCUCCUGUCCAUCCUCUUUGUCCCACAGUUACACCGUAUACAUCUUCUUGAUCUCACUGACACCUCUAGUCUGCUGACCCAUUGCUCUGUAGCCAUCCAUGAGUUCCUUCCUGUCUUACUUCCCCCUUUAUCCACUUAGAUCCAUUGUCCAGGUUUUAAAUCACUCUCUCGCCAAAGGCUUACACUCUCUGAGCUUUUUGUCCUUCUGCUUGCGCCUGGGCUCCUGAGCAGUGAGGUGGAUUGGUACCUGUUCAGAUGCAUUCAGGUGAUGCCCAGCACUGCACAGCACAUGCACACUCUGAUUCUGGUUAGUUGUCCUGCUCAUUCUCCAUGGUGCUUGUUGUGAAGCUAGUCCCCUCUUCAAGCGUAUGAUGCUUCUCUUCCCUGUUUACCCUCAGAUAAUGCACUCCUGCAGUGGGGCUCUCUGUCCCACCCACUACUGAACCUUCUCUGUCCCUUGGUAUCCAUGACCUGGCCACCUCCUGGUUUCUCUGCUACUUUUCAUACUGUCUUAAUCAUCUUUAUUGGCUUUGUUUCUGUCAAACUGACUUUGGUCAUAAGGCAAGUAGAGAUUUCUGUUUUCUCUCUUAAGUGCAGUAAAACGUGUUUGUGCUUCUGCCCUUGGCCUUCUGCUGGAGGAAAACUGGAAUUUAGGGUGGCAGGCGCCUGACUUUCUUAAGCUGUUGUGUCUGAGCGCUUGCGUGGGCUACAGAAUUUUACUCUGUGACCUUAGCCAGAUGCAGCGCCAAGCCACACACAGGAACUGCCUCCCUUAGCUCAUGGUUCUGCACUCUACACAAAUAGUCUGCUAGGGUUUAUUCUGCGUAGUGCAGGGGGAAAUUUGAUUGGCAUCUUUCAGAUUAGCAAUGGGCAGGAAUUUCCCAGAUAAAUCAGUUUUAUUGUUACAGUCUUAUGAAGGUGUUGUCUUCAGUGUGGCUGACCUCUGCAGGUUAUUGAGGUGCAGCAAGGUGAGAGUCUUGUCCCCACUCCUGCCAGGUACACCUCAGGUCCAUUCUCUUUCACACGGCCAUGCCCGGACUCUCUGAUGUGCUGUUGCUGGGUUGCUGCCACUUUCCUUCUCCUUCCUGUAGUACUGCUGCCCCUGCCUGGAUCCUCACUCCUCUCGUUAUUUUGUUCCCCCUUCUCUUCUUCCCUCUCAUCUCUUUGGUUGUCUUUCACCUAAAAAUAGGAACGUCUUUGUUCAUUGACUUAUUAUUUAGUUCUGGAGCUGGGCAUCGAGGAUGAAAGAUUAUGAGAAUGACAUAGCGCUGCUCUUGGGGUGAUCCUAGGGAGAAACAUCUAAAUAUGAAAUUCCAGUGUGUUAUAAUAAAGACUGGCAAAGUCUCUGCUGCGCGUUAUAUUCACGUAACUUCAGACAGUCUUUUAACCACCCUGUGAGAUUGCUGAUACCAUCCUCAGGUUACCGAGGAGGCUCUGAGGAGUGAUGUCGUUUGCUCCAGGUAGCUUAAACAGCAGGUCGCAUGGUGGGAGCACAGCCAAGUUUGGGCUGCAAAGCUCAUGCUCUUACCUGCUAUAAAUGCAGUUUUUCUACUCUCUCCAUUGCCCCUCUCAAAGGCUGCCCAUCAACAGUAGAAUUCAUGAUACGGUAAUAGACUGCUUACAUAUUGAGUCUUGGCCUUACCUUUAUAGAGAAGUUGGAGAACUAAGUAGCUAAAGUCACGUGUGGUGGUGUUUCUAUUCCUCCCUGACUUCAGGAUGGUUGUUGGAUGGCACUGUCCUUACUCUGCCUGAAAAUUAUACUACCCUCUUCAGCUUAUGGCACAUGUGUUAUCACUGUGAUUCUCAUGUGUAACAUAUCCUCACCAAAACAUUUUAUUUGUCUCUCUGUUACCUGCUAACUUCAAACUUACACCUUGACGUACCUCACAGGUCUGAAAUUUUACAUGCCUUACACAUCUCAAAGAGGAAAAAAGAUAGGUUAUCUAUCAUAGAAGGUACAUAGGAACGCUUUAUAGAUCGCUGAAGGCGAUAGUGCAGGCCAGUUUUCUCUGUACAGUUAGCUGGACACUAACUCUUCUGCCUCCUUCUGAGGAGCCUGAGCUGCUCCUGUCCUGGGCUGGCCCCGAGCAGCACUGAUGUGCCCUGGGCCCCUCUUGUCUUUGGAGAGCUCCCAUUCUGACCAGCACAGCGCCUACCCUCUCUCCCAGUUCCACUACUUUUGGUUUUGUUAUUUUAUUCUACAGAAGUGAUUCACAGAUAACUGGGAGAGACGGUUGUGUAAGAACUCUUUAUCCAUUUGUUCAGUAGAUGUUUAUUGAGCAUUACAACUGGCCAGGUACCACUCUGCGUGCUGAGGACACCGUAGGGCCCAACGCAACACCUCUGCCAUUUGGAGCUUUUGCUCUGGUGUGGGAGGCACCCAGGAAACCAAUAAACAUGUGCUCUGAUGCCAGACAGGGAUUGAUGCUCUGACAAAAGCAAAGCCGAGUGAAGGGGUGGGGGGAAACGGGAGGGCGGGGCGUGCUGCUGUAGUCCCUGUGUCCCAGGCUUCUCGGAGGGCGUGACACUGCUGUCACAAAAGUACCAUAGAUGGGUGGCUUAAGGGCAGAUGUUUAUUCCUCAUACUUCUGGAGGCGGGGAGUCAGAGAUCAGGGGUCCUCGUGGGCAGGUUUCUGGUGGGGACUCUCUUCCUGGCUUCAGACGGCUGCCUUCUUCCUGUGCCCUCACAGGGCAGAGAGGAGGAUCCUUCCUCUCAUGUCUCUUCUUGCGAGGACGCUAAUCUCAAUCAUGAGAGCUCCACGCUCGUGACCUAAGCACCUCCCAGGGGCAUCACCUCCACAUACCAUUGCAGUGGGGAUUAGGGCUUCCGCACAUGGAUUCUGGGGGGUGCCACCAUUUGGUCCACAGCACUGAGUGAAGUGACCAGGAGCAUUCCAGGCACAGGGGAUUGCAAGUUUGGAGGCCCUGGGAUGAGACGGUGCUUGGCUUGUCAGAGAAACAGCUCUGUCAGAGCAGAAUGGGCAGCAAAGGAAAGAGUAUUUGGAAAUGAAGUUGCAGAGGAAUGGGCUUCCAGUCCAUGUGAGGCCAAUAGGCUGUGGUGGACAGUUCAGAUUGCAUUCCCAGACAUGAGAAACCUCUCUGAACAGGGGGAAAUUCAAUAUGUUUUGGAAACAUGGUUCGAGAGCAUGAUCGGGACAACUGGAAUAGAUGUGACAAUACAGGGAAGAGGCUAAAAAAAUCCUCUCAACUAUCAGCAUUCCCAGCAAGGGUUACUGUAUAGAGAAAAGAAUAGUUAAUUCAAUCCAACCAUUUGUCAGUUUAUUUGAACAACUGGCCUGACAUUUUAAUGGACCGCAACCAUAACGAUUGCCCCGAUUGUUCCGAUAGAGUCAACCACUGUGUUUGGUUGAACCAGAGCAAUCAAGGAUGCAGUCAAAGUUUCCUGAGGAAUUUUCUCACCACAGCAGAACAGGAAGAUGGCCUUUGCCCUCCGUGCUGGAUUCCAGCAGGAAGCCAAAGUGGGAGGUCCUUAGGGAGUGGGGAGGACACAGCAGAACAAGAUGAAAAAGUACCGACAGAGUAACUGGAGAGCAAUAGGUAGGCCAGUGGCUGAGCUGCAAUGCUGAGUGUUAGAGAGGACCCUCAGGCUCUGGCCAAGUGGGCUCCGUCAUGGCCCUCCCAGGGUCCAAGGCAAAUUCUGCCGUGUGACUCCGCAGGGGUAAAUGACAAAGCUCUUUAGGGAAAAGGAAAGCUCGCAAGGCUUGGUUGAGGAGAACAAAAGGAAGGGGUCCACCAGUGCCCAUCACUCCACAGAGAGGGGUAUGGGGCCAUUGCACCCCUGGGCCCUCAGCACAGGUCUGUGUUUGAGUGAUGGGAUGGUGUCCCCUCCUACCUUUUCAAAAAUGGAUUUUGGAAUCGUGUGUGUGUGUGUGUGUGUGUGUGUGUGUGUUUGUUUUUUGAGGUGAAGUUCAUAACAGAAUUUCAAAGUGAACAGCGGCAUUUAAUACAUUAAUGUUUAAUACAUUAACCACCACCUUUAUCUAGUUCCAAAACAUUUUCAUUACCUGAAAAAUAACCUCUGUACCCACUAAGCAAUCACUUCUUAUUUCCGCCUCUCAGCCUUGGCAGGCAUCUUCAUCUUUUUUAUAGGGCACCAGAAGGCAGCCUUAAUAGUGGGUAAAUAAAACACACAGGCUCCUUUGGACCAGGGAGCCUGGAUUUGGGACGCUAGCUCUUCAUGGGCGUUGUUUGGGAACACCAGCUGCCCCUGCGCCUGGACGUUGGGACCUGUGAGAAGCUGCAAAAGUACCACAGAACUCAGAGAGGAGAAGCCACUGGGCCUGUGGGAAGCUGAGCUUGACCCUGUCCUCUCUGAAGGGUGGUGCCUUUGGCUUCCCAGCAAAUGAUCUGGGAAGAGGGAAUGUGUUGAUGUGACCCAGAGGGUUUAAACCCACGUUAAGGCAGUUCUCCUUCUUCCAGCACAACUAUGAACAAGCAUGGUUAAGGGCGACACAGAAAGUGUCCUUUCAGGCUUUGCCGGUCGUGCAUCCCGCACUGCCCUUUGGCUGUAGAGGGAGUCAAGAUGCAACGGGGAGCUCCUGCUGUGCACAGUGGGAUUGGUGACAUCUUGGACGCUGCUAAGGCGCAGGUUAGAUCCCUGGCCUGACACAGGGGGUUGGGGAUCUCGUGUUGCCCCAGCUGUGGCUUUGGUUGAGACUGUAGCUCCGAUCCCUAGCCCAGGAGCGCUCCGUAUACCAAGGAGCAGCCAAAAACGGAUCCUCCCCCCAAAAAA
This 6788-nucleotide long non-coding RNA is filed under the name Sus scrofa (pig). RNAcentral's name for it is "lncRNA (ENSSSCG00055026994.1)". Lineage: Eukaryota; Metazoa; Chordata; Mammalia; Artiodactyla; Suidae. The record is from RNAcentral.